RNAcentral lists this ribosomal RNA (253 nucleotides) under uncultured bacterium. RNAcentral describes it as "partial 16S ribosomal RNA". It matches the Rfam family "Bacterial small subunit ribosomal RNA", at positions 524 to 776 of the family's 1533-position model. The record is from RNAcentral.
AACGUAGGUGGCGAGCGUUAUCCGGAUUUACUGGGCGUAAAGCGUGUGCAGGCGGGGGGGAAAGUGGUGUAUGAAAUCGCCAGGCUAAACCUGGCGCGGUUAUGCCAGACUGUCUAUCUGGAGUGCGAGAGAGGGGCGUGGAAUUCCGGGUGUAGUGGUGAAAUGCGUAGAGAUCCGGAGGAACCCCAGAGGCGAAGGCGGCGCCCUGGCUCGCAACUGACGCUCAGACACGACAGCAUGGGGAGCGAACGGG